RNAcentral lists this ribosomal RNA (1366 nucleotides) under Lactiplantibacillus plantarum. RNAcentral describes it as "bacterial SSU rRNA". It matches the Rfam family "Bacterial small subunit ribosomal RNA", at positions 73 to 1413 of the family's 1533-position model. The record is from RNAcentral. Lineage: Bacteria; Bacillati; Bacillota; Bacilli; Lactobacillales; Lactobacillaceae.
UUGGUGCUUGCAUCAUGAUUUACAUUUGAGUGAGUGGCGAACUGGUGAGUAACACGUGGGAAACCUGCCCAGAAGCGGGGGAUAACACCUGGAAACAGAUGCUAAUACCGCAUAACAACUUGGACCGCAUGGUCCGAGCUUGAAAGAUGGCUUCGGCUAUCACUUUUGGAUGGUCCCGCGGCGUAUUAGCUAGAUGGUGGGGUAACGGCUCACCAUGGCAAUGAUACGUAGCCGACCUGAGAGGGUAAUCGGCCACAUUGGGACUGAGACACGGCCCAAACUCCUACGGGAGGCAGCAGUAGGGAAUCUUCCACAAUGGACGAAAGUCUGAUGGAGCAACGCCGCGUGAGUGAAGAAGGGUUUCGGCUCGUAAAACUCUGUUGUUAAAGAAGAACAUAUCUGAGAGUAACUGUUCAGGUAUUGACGGUAUUUAACCAGAAAGCCACGGCUAACUACGUGCCAGCAGCCGCGGUAAUACGUAGGUGGCAAGCGUUGUCCGGGAUUUAUUGGGCGUAAAGCGAGCGCAGGCGGUUUUUUAAGUCUGAUGUGAAAGCCUUUCGGCUCAACCGAAGAAGUGCAUCGGAAACUGGGAAACUUGAGUGCAGAAGAGGACAGUGGAACUCCAUGUGUAGCGGUGAAAUGCGUAGAUAUAUGGAAGAACACCAGUGGCGAAGGCGGCUGUCUGGUCUGUAACUGACGCUGAGGCUCGAAAGUAUGGGUAGCAAACAGGAUUAGAUACCCUGGUAGUCCAUACCGUAAACGAUGAAUGCUAAGUGUUGGAGGGUUUCCGCCCUUCAGUGCUGCAGCUAACGCAUUAAGCAUUCCGCCUGGGGAGUACGGCCGCAAGGCUGAAACUCAAAGGAAUUGACGGGGGCCCGCACAAGCGGUGGAGCAUGUGGUUUAAUUCGAAGCUACGCGAAGAACCUUACCAGGUCUUGACAUACUAUGCAAAUCUAAGAGAUUAGACGUUCCCUUCGGGGACAUGGAUACAGGUGGUGCAUGGUUGUCGUCAGCUCGUGUCGUGAGAUGUUGGGUUAAGUCCCGCAACGAGCGCAACCCUUAUUAUCAGUUGCCAGCAUUAAGUUGGGCACUCUGGUGAGACUGCCGGUGACAAACCGGAGGAAGGUGGGGAUGACGUCAAAUCAUCAUGCCCCUUAUGACCUGGGCUACACACGUGCUACAAUGGAUGGUACAACGAGUUGCGAACUCGCGAGAGUAAGCUAAUCUCUUAAAGCCAUUCUCAGUUCGGAUUGUAGGCUGCAACUCGCCUACAUGAAGUCGGAAUCGCUAGUAAUCGCGGAUCAGCAUGCCGCGGUGAAUACGUUCCCGGGCCUUGUACACACCGCCCGUCACACCAUGAGAGUUU